RNAcentral lists this ribosomal RNA (215 nucleotides) under uncultured bacterium. Its description in RNAcentral is "partial 16S ribosomal RNA". It matches the Rfam family "Bacterial small subunit ribosomal RNA", at positions 1132 to 1345 of the family's 1533-position model. The record is from RNAcentral.
UGGGCACUCUANGNUGACUGCCGGUGACAAACCGGAGGAAGGUGGGGAUGACGUCAAAUCAUCAUGCCCCUUAUGACCUGGGCUACACACGUACUACAAUGGCCGNUACAACGGGAAGCGAAACCGCGAGGUGGAGCCAAUCCUAUCAAAGNCGGUCUCAGUUCGGAUUGCAGGCUGCAACUCGCCUGCAUGAAGUCGGAAUUGCUAGUAAUCGC